RNAcentral lists this ribosomal RNA (245 nucleotides) under uncultured bacterium. RNAcentral describes it as "partial 16S ribosomal RNA". It matches the Rfam family "Bacterial small subunit ribosomal RNA", at positions 87 to 334 of the family's 1533-position model. The record is from RNAcentral.
CCUGACGAGUGGCGAACGGGUGAGUAAUGCAUCGGAACGUACCCAGUCGUGGGGGAGUAACGUAGCGAAAGUUACGCUAAUACCGCAUACGUCCUGAGGGAGAAAGCGGGGGACCGUAAGGCCUCGCGCGAUUGGAGCGGCCGAUGUCGGAUUAGCUAGUUGGUAGGGUAAAGGCCUACCAAGGCGACGAUCCGUAGCGGGUCUGAGAGGAUGAUCCGCCACACUGGGACUGAGACACGGCCCAG